RNAcentral lists this ribosomal RNA (440 nucleotides) under uncultured bacterium. RNAcentral describes it as "partial 16S ribosomal RNA". It matches the Rfam family "Bacterial small subunit ribosomal RNA", at positions 338 to 795 of the family's 1533-position model. The record is from RNAcentral.
CCUACGGGAGGCUGCAGUGGGGAAUAUUGCACAAUGGGGGAAACCCUGAUGCAGCGACGCCGCGUGAGUGAAGACGUCUCUCCGUAUGUAAAGCUCUAUUUGUAGGGAAGUAAAUUACGGUACGUGAUCAAUAUUCUCUGGCCAACUACGUUCCAGCAGCCGCGGUAAUACGGAGGGGGCAAGCGUUAUCCGGAUUUACUGGGUGUAAAGGGAGCGUAGACGGGAGCGCAAGUCAGAAGUGAAAUGCCGGGGCUUAACCGCGGAACUGCCAUGGAAACUGUGCGGCUGGAGUGCAGUAGAGGUAGGUGGAAUUCGUGGUGUAGCGGUGAAAUGCGUAGAUAUUACGAAGAACACCGAUGGCGAAGGCAGCUUACUAAACUGUAACUGACGUUGAGGCUCGAAAGCGUGGGGAGCAAACAGGAUUAGAUACCCUAGUAGUC